CCUACGGGAGGCAGCAGUGGGGAAUAUUGCACAAUGGGGGAAACCCUGAUGCAGCGACGCCGCGUGAGUGAAGAAGUAUUUCGGUAUGUAAAGCUCUAUCAGCAGGGAAGAAAAUGACGGUACCUGAGGAAGAAGGCACGGCUAACGACGUGCCAGCAGCCGCGGGAAUACGUAGGGGGCAAGCGUUAUCCGGAUUUACUGGGGGUAAUGGGAGCGUAGACGGCAGCACAAGUCUGGAGUGAAAUGCCGGGGCUUAACCCCGGAACUGCUUUGGAAACUGUGCAGCUAGAGUGCAGGGGAGGUAAGUGGAAUUCCUUGUGUAGCUGUGAACUGCGUAGUUAUUAGGAGGAACACCAGUGGCGAAGGCGGCUUACUGGACUGUAACUGACGUUGCGGCUCGCAAGCGUGGGGAGCAAACAGGAUUAGAUACCCUUGUAGUC
Molecule: ribosomal RNA, 440 nt
Filed under: uncultured bacterium
Lineage: Bacteria
Description: partial 16S ribosomal RNA
Rfam family: Bacterial small subunit ribosomal RNA
Source: RNAcentral